Long non-coding RNA from Biomphalaria glabrata, 195 nucleotides. RefSeq lists it as uncharacterized. The record is from RefSeq and is a predicted model, not a curated record. The transcript is spliced from 4 exons. NCBI's taxonomy places the organism in Eukaryota, Metazoa, Mollusca, Gastropoda, Planorbidae.
AGCGUUCACCUAAGGAAAGCGAAGAUGAAAAUGAUGACAAAGAUGAAAAAGGCAACGGUAAAAACGGCAAAGGAAACAAGGGCAAAGGCAACAAAGGAAAAGGCAACAAAGGAAAAGGCAGAGGAAACAAUUCUUCAAGUGAUGAAGAUGACAGCAACAAAAGCUCUUCAGAAGAAAAGGUAAAAAAAAAAAGAU